RNAcentral lists this unclassified non-coding RNA (354 nucleotides) under Cladonia foliacea. RNAcentral describes it as "partial 28S-18S ribosomal RNA intergenic spacer". The record is from RNAcentral. Lineage: Eukaryota; Fungi; Ascomycota; Lecanoromycetes; Lecanorales; Cladoniaceae.
ACCGAAGCCUGUAACCGCCUCCGGGCGUGACGGGCGGCUGGUAUCCUCCUUCUGAGGGGUGUAUGGUGCAGUUUGGGCCGGCCCUUAUGGGUCGUGCAUCCCCAAUGUUGCAGCGGACCAUCCCUUGGGCAUUACAGUGGGGGCAAGUGGAUAGUUCUAGGCAUCUUUGGCGGCUCCGGCCCUGGAGGUGGCUUGGGCUGGGUGCUGGGCCUCGGUCCGCGCCCCGAUCUUUUAACUAGCUCUGAUACCUCUUCAUUGAGGGUUGCCGGCGGCCUUUCGCCUUUCGGGGCGGAGGGUCUCCCGGGAAAGAUAGUUACCUGGUUGAUUCUGCCAGUAGUCAUAUGCUUGUCUCAA